This 67-nucleotide transfer RNA is filed under the name Batrachoseps attenuatus (California slender salamander). RNAcentral describes it as "tRNA-Thr". It matches the Rfam family "tRNA". Rfam says of the family: Transfer RNA (tRNA) molecules are approximately 80 nucleotides in length. Lineage: Eukaryota; Metazoa; Chordata; Amphibia; Caudata; Plethodontidae. The record is from RNAcentral.
GCUGAUGUAGUUUAAAAAAUAUUGGUCUUGUAAGCCAAAGAAGGGAAUAAUAAACCCCUUCAGUUCA